GGGGGCGAGCGUUGUCCGGAAUUACUGGGCGUAAAGGGCGCCUAGGCGGUUUUUUAAGUCCGUUGUGAAAGACCGAGGCUCAACCUCGGGAUGUCAGCGGAGACUGGAAGACUGGAGUGACGGAGAGGAGUGCGGAAUUCCUGGUGUAGCGGUGGAAUGCGUAGAUAUCAGGAGGAACACCGAUGGCGAAGGCAGCACUCUGGCCGAAGACUGACGCUGAAGCGCGAAAGCUGGGGGAGCGAACGGG
RNAcentral lists this ribosomal RNA (247 nucleotides) under uncultured bacterium. RNAcentral describes it as "partial 16S ribosomal RNA". It matches the Rfam family "Bacterial small subunit ribosomal RNA", at positions 530 to 776 of the family's 1533-position model. The record is from RNAcentral.